Molecule: long non-coding RNA, 332 nt
Organism: Megalobrama amblycephala (Wuchang bream)
Lineage: Eukaryota; Metazoa; Chordata; Actinopteri; Cypriniformes; Xenocyprididae
Exons: 3
Source: RefSeq, a predicted model, not a curated record
UGUUUUACAUUUGACUUUUAGUUUUUCUUUUUCUUUAAUGGCAGAAUCGAACCCAACAAGGCAGAUCACAACCACAGUAUGAUCAACAUGCUGUAACUGAAGCACUUUAUGUCCCUGGUGUCUGGAGUAAUCCCUGAAGGAGAUUUGAGGCGGGAUCAGACUCAGAGCCAGAUCCAGCAGUCAGGAAGUCCUCCCGUGGAACAGGAAAUGGCUGGAGCUCUUGCUUGACAUAUUUCAACAAAACUCUUCUCAAUGCUGCAACAGCUGCGCGACGGCCUUGAUACGAUCUUACCAAAGUCAUGCAGGAGUGUCACAAUCUCUUCGUCGUGACA